Caenorhabditis elegans is the source of this 72-nucleotide non-coding RNA. The record is from Ensembl. NCBI's taxonomy places the organism in Eukaryota, Metazoa, Nematoda, Chromadorea, Rhabditida, Rhabditidae.
AUGGGAUCGGCGAACGUGGCUGUCAUGGGCGGCAUGGGAGGCAAAUGCUUUUCCACAAUGAGCACACUGAAA